Molecule: ribosomal RNA, 353 nt
Filed under: uncultured rumen protozoa
Lineage: Eukaryota
Description: bacterial SSU rRNA
Rfam family: Eukaryotic small subunit ribosomal RNA
Source: RNAcentral
CUCUCCGAGGCAGCAGGCGCGUAAUUACUUAUCUGAAAGGGAGGUGGAAACAAGAUAUAAAAACGCAUUUAAUUGUGAUAGAAAUGAGGGUUCUCUCUACCGAACCACUAGUACGAUUAGAGGGCAAGUCUGGUGCCAGCAGCCGCGGUAAUUCCAGCUCUAAUAGCGUAUAUUAAAGUUGCUGCAGUUAAAAAGCUCGUAUUUGGAUUUCAAGGAUUGUGUACUCUUCCAGGGUAUGCACCCCUACAAUCUUUGACUUGUUACUGUGAGAAAAUUAGAGUGUUUAAAGCAGGCUAUUGCAGAAUACAUCAGCAUGGAAUAACGAAUGUAUCCUAGAAUCUUGGGUAAUCCAA